RNAcentral lists this ribosomal RNA (253 nucleotides) under uncultured bacterium. RNAcentral describes it as "partial 16S ribosomal RNA". It matches the Rfam family "Bacterial small subunit ribosomal RNA", at positions 524 to 776 of the family's 1533-position model. The record is from RNAcentral.
UACGUAGGGUGCAAGCGUUGUCCGGAAUUAUUGGGCGUAAAGAGCUCGUAGGCGGCUUGUCGCGUCGAAUGUGAAAUCUCAGGGCUCAACUCUGACAUUGCAUUCGAUACGGGCAGGCUCGAGUUCGGUAGGGGAGACUGGAAUUCCUGGUGUAGCGGUGAAAUGCGCAGAUAUCAGGAGGAACACCGGUGGCGAAGGCGGGUCUCUGGGCCGAUACUGACGCUGAGGAGCGAAAGCGUGGGGAGCGAACAGG